AAUCACACCCGACCAAAUGACGCGCGCGGCAGGAGCGGGGGAACCACGCAGGCCGCCGUACCGGAUCACUCCGGUACGGCUCGGGGUGAAGCCGUUCCGGUGAUCCGCUUCCGCUUCCGCGGACGUUCCCGUACGGCCGGACAUCUCCAGUCCGAACCCGACAGCUCACCUCGCAGGCGCCGGAGAGGAAUU
RNAcentral lists this small RNA (192 nucleotides) under Streptomyces sp. RNAcentral's name for it is "c-di-AMP sequence". It matches the Rfam family "c-di-AMP riboswitch aptamer (ydaO/yuaA leader)". Rfam says of the family: This family represents a conserved RNA structure found upstream of the ydaO and yuaA genes in Bacillus subtilis and related genes in other bacteria. The record is from RNAcentral. Lineage: Bacteria; Bacillati; Actinomycetota; Actinomycetes; Kitasatosporales; Streptomycetaceae.